UGAGAAUUAAGUUUUUAGAAUAAAGACUUUGGGUGUCUUAGGAUAUAUUUUUAA
Molecule: transfer RNA, 54 nt
Filed under: Philodina citrina
Lineage: Eukaryota; Metazoa; Rotifera; Eurotatoria; Philodinida; Philodinidae
Description: transfer RNA-Pro
Source: RNAcentral